UGGGGAAUAUUGCACAAUGGGCGCAAGCCUGAUGCAGCGACGCCGCGUGAGGGAUGACGGCCUUCGGGUUGUAAACCUCUUUCAGCAGGGACGAAGCGCAAGUGACGGUACCUGCAGAAGAAGCACCGGCCAACUACGUGCCAGCAGCCGCGGUAAUACGUAGGGUGCGAGCGUUGUCCGGAAUUACUGGGCGUAAAGAGCUCGUAGGCGGUUUGUCGCGUCGUCUGUGAAAUUCUGCAGCUUAACUGCAGGCGUGCAGGCGAUACGGGCAGACUUGAGUACUACAGGGGAGACUGGAAUUCCUGGUGUAGCGGUGAAAUGCGCAGAUAUCAGGAGGAACACCGGUGGCGAAGGCGGGUCUCUGGGUAGUAACUGACGCUGAGGAGCGAAAGCGUGGGUAGCGAACAGGAUUAGAUACCCUGGUAGUCCACGCCGUAAACGGUGGGUACUAGGUGUGGGUUCCAUUUCACGGGAUCCGUGCCGUAGCUAACGCAUUAAGUACCCCGCCUGGGGAGUACGGCCGCAAGGCUAAAACUUAAAUGAAUUGACGGGGUCAUAGCUG
RNAcentral lists this ribosomal RNA (562 nucleotides) under uncultured bacterium. RNAcentral describes it as "partial 16S ribosomal RNA". It matches the Rfam family "Bacterial small subunit ribosomal RNA", at positions 355 to 932 of the family's 1533-position model. The record is from RNAcentral.